Molecule: long non-coding RNA, 654 nt
Organism: Ixodes scapularis (black-legged tick)
Lineage: Eukaryota; Metazoa; Arthropoda; Arachnida; Ixodida; Ixodidae
Exons: 3
Source: RefSeq, a predicted model, not a curated record
GAAUAUCAGUCUGAUUCUUAUUCAUGGUAUUGCAGGAAGUCUGUAUCAUCAAGAAAAAACUGCAGGUGGCUGGAAGAUGCCGAUCAGCUGCCAGUCUGGAUAGUAGCCAUCAACUCAGCAAAGGCCUGCAGUCGAAUCAGCCCCACCUGUUUCUCUGCUGCCAUUCAAGACAGGAUGCUUUGUGAGAGGUGAAACGGGGCCCAUGCACCGCUUCCGCAGGGCCCUGCUGUGGGAGCUCAUGGAGGUGGCACGGUGCAUGGAAGAACAGAGUGGCUGACAGUGGGCUGCCCAAGCAAGCUGCUGGCUCUUGUGACUGUCUCUGAAAGCCUCUGGAUGUGCAAAAUUGCAGACGUGCCUGGACAUUUAUAAAUGGUGCUGCUAUCCAGCUCUACGUCACAGCCAUGAAGUGGCCAUGGGGUGAACCAUGGACAACUGCUGUCAUAAGUACUCGAAUCGACAGAGCCACCUACUAGCUGUGAAGCCCAGUUGCCAGGCAGCAGAUACUCGACCAGCAACCAGCCUUUGUCACUCUAGUGGGACACGAGAGCGACAAACAGAAACAAAGACAGCUACAAGCCUCCAACCCAUUCAGCAUGCCCGUGAUGGUACCUUUGGCAGGCGUUUAUUCGUUCGGUGCUCGUGAAAUAAGCAUGA